GACAGAGGGUGCAAACGUUGCUCGGAAUUACUGGGCGUAAAGCGCGUGUAGGCGGACCAGCAAGUCGGACGUGAAAUCCCUGAGCUCAACUCAGGAACUGCAUCCGAAACUGCUGGUCUGGAGUGGUGGAGAGGGAAGCAGAAUUCCUGGUGUAGAGGUGAAAUUCGUAGAUAUGGGGAGGAACACCGGUGGCGAAGGCGACCAUCUGGACAGAUACUGACGCUGAGACGCGAAAGCGUGGGGAGCAAACAGG
This 253-nucleotide ribosomal RNA is filed under the name uncultured bacterium. RNAcentral's name for it is "partial 16S ribosomal RNA". It matches the Rfam family "Bacterial small subunit ribosomal RNA", at positions 524 to 776 of the family's 1533-position model. The record is from RNAcentral.